This 253-nucleotide ribosomal RNA is filed under the name uncultured bacterium. RNAcentral's name for it is "partial 16S ribosomal RNA". It matches the Rfam family "Bacterial small subunit ribosomal RNA", at positions 524 to 776 of the family's 1533-position model. The record is from RNAcentral.
UACGUAGGGUGCAAGCGUUGUCCGGAAUUAUUGGGCGUAAAGAGCUCGUAGGCGGUCUGUCACGUCGGCUGUGAAAACCUGGGGCUCAACUCCGGGCCUGCAGCCGAUACGGGCAGACUAGAGUUCGGCAGGGGAGACUGGAAUUCCUGGUGUAGCGGUGAAAUGCGCAGAUAUCAGGAGGAACACCGGUGGCGAAGGCGGGUCUCUGGGCCGAAACUGACGCUGAGGCACGAAAGCGUGGGGAGCAAACAGG